Molecule: long non-coding RNA, 1991 nt
Filed under: Salmo trutta (river trout)
Lineage: Eukaryota; Metazoa; Chordata; Actinopteri; Salmoniformes; Salmonidae
Description: lncRNA (ENSSTUG00000031953.1)
Source: RNAcentral
CUAUUCUGGCGAAUGGUGCUUGUUUAAAAAAGUUGUGAGGUCGUUUAAUAAAGUUGAAGAAAAGGGCUUUUUCUGAGUGGCUGUCAAUAUAAUAUCAUAGAAUAACGUUACUGUAAGACAAAAACACGACCUAAUUUGUUAUGAAAUUUUUGGAUAAUUGUGCGAAUGGUUGCCUUUUUCUCUCAUGCGGCGAAAACUCAACAGGACGUGGCACUAGGCAAAAUAUUUGCUUUGAUUGAAACAAAACACAGUGGAGAGGAUGGAGGAGAUUGGAAAGAAUAUUGCAGAAGGAAGAAAAAGGAUGGGGUUCCACAUGCCCCCCUUCUCCUCAGUCCCUCACCUCCAUCUCCACGUCAUCGCUCCUGCCAGUCAGAUGAGCAUCAGGUCACUCAGUCACUAUGGGCCGCAAUCCUAUUGGUUCAUUACCAUGGACAGAAUGGUUCAGCAGCUGAGGACCCAUAACCAGGUCAAAUAAGAAUAUACCUGGUUUAGCAGGACACAACAGCACUGGGCUUCCAAGAUCCAUGUCACAACUCUGACAUGGCUGGCAGUGGCUGCAUUCCCGCCUUAUACUUGACAUGCACGGUCACUAAUCUGAAGGACUGGUUUAGUUCUAUUUAUGUUUUUACUAAGCCUCUGUAUUUUUGUAAGUUCUGAUGGGGUGUUACGAUAUGCAUUUAUUAUUAUACACUAAGGGAUAGUACACUAAGGGGGGGGGGGGGGCUUGUACAACUCAAGGUGUCAAAAACAACAAAAAAUGCACCGCUCUCCCCAAUGUAAAAAAUAUUUUCACUUGACACUCCCCUUGUACUGUAAAACAAAAAUUGCACACCCUCCCCCCUCAUAGAAUUAACUCUAAAGAAUGUUUACGACCAGAAAUAACAAUAACUGUAGUGACCUUGUGUUUAUAAACAUGGAUAUCGACUUUGCCCCUUCAUGCUUUUCUGGCACAGCCGAUGCCACGCAGGGCUACGGGCCAGAAGGUUAGGCUACCACCACGGACGAGCUCACUCUCCCUGUACAAAACAUUAAGAACACCUUCCUAAUAUUGAAUUGCCCUCAGAACAAUUCGUCGGGGCAUGGAUUCUACAAGGUCUCAAAAGCGUUCCACAAGGAUGGUGGCCCAUGUUGACUCCAAUGCUUCCCACAGUUGUGUCAAGUUGGCUGGAUGUGCAUUGGGUGGUGGACCAUUCUUGAUACACACGAGAAACUGUUGAGUGUGAAAAACCCAGCAGCAUUGCAGUUCUUGACACAAACCGGUGCGCCUGGCACCUACUACCAUACCCUGUUCAAAGGCACUUAAAUCUUCUGUCUUGCCCAUUCAUUCUCUGAAUGGCACACAUACACAAUCCAUGUCUCAAGGCUUACAAAUCCUUCUUUAACCUGUCUCAUCCCCUCCUACUUCAUCUACACUGAUUUGAAGUGGAUUUAACAACUGACAUCAAUAAGGGAUCAUAGCUUUCACCUGGAUUCGCCUAGUCAGUCUGUGUCAUGGAAAGAGCAGGUGUUCUUAAUGUUUUGUACAUUUUUGCAACAGGUUUCUGUGCCAAUACACCACACAACCAAUAAACAAAGCAUACCGACUUUGGGCACUUUAAUAUCAUGGUUUGCGUUUUCAACGCCACAAUAAAUCUCGACAAACAGAAAAUACAUCCCUGACUACCUGGUAGGCCUACCCAGUAUCGAAGGCUUGACUUGACAAUCUCAGAAUGGCAUUAAACUUUUUCAUCAAAUGGUUGCUACACAGUUUGGAUUGAUUCAUUUUAUUUGUCAGUAAAACAAAAUACAUACAGUACAAAGAUUUUUAAAAGGGACUGGGAUUGUGCAAUAAAGUUGGGGAGUUAUUUCCAUUGUGGUCCCUAUUUUAUAGAUAAAUGCAUAUACAAUUACAUAGAUAUAGACACAUUACAGAUAUCCAGACACAUUACAUAAUAGACACAUUACAUAAUACAGACACAUUACAGAAAUACAGAUAUACAGACACAUUACAG